GGCCUCGUAGCUCAGCUGGUAGAGCAUGCAUAGGCGGCGUCCAUGCGUGGGUUCGAACCCCACCGAGGCUA
Molecule: transfer RNA, 71 nt
Filed under: Echinostoma caproni
Lineage: Eukaryota; Metazoa; Platyhelminthes; Trematoda; Plagiorchiida; Echinostomatidae
Rfam family: tRNA
About the family: Transfer RNA (tRNA) molecules are approximately 80 nucleotides in length. Their secondary structure includes four short double-helical elements and three loops (D, anti-codon, and T loops).
Source: Rfam by way of RNAcentral